This 919-nucleotide ribosomal RNA is filed under the name uncultured Halobacteria archaeon. Its description in RNAcentral is "bacterial SSU rRNA". It matches the Rfam family "Archaeal small subunit ribosomal RNA", at positions 1 to 922 of the family's 1478-position model. The record is from RNAcentral. Lineage: Archaea; Methanobacteriati; Methanobacteriota; Halobacteria.
UUCCGGUUGAUCCUGCCGGAGGCCAUUGCUAUCGGAGUCCGAUUUAGCCAUGCUAGUUGUGCGGGUUUAGACCCGCAGCGGAAAGCUCAGUAACACGUGGCCAAACUACCCUGUGGAUGGGAACAAUCUCGGGAAACUGAGGCUAAUUCCCAAUAACGCUCCACCCCUGGAACGGGCGGAGCUGGAAACGCUACGGCGCCACAGGAUGUGGCUGCGGUCGAUUAGGUAGACGGUGGGGUAACGGCCCACCGUGCCAAUAAUCGGUACGGGUUGUGAGAGCAAGAGCCCGGAGACGGAAUCUGAGACAAGAUUCCGGGCCCUACGGGGCGCAGCAGGCGCGAAACCUUUACACUGUACGCAAGUGCGAUAAGGGGACUCCGAGUGUGAAGGCAUAGAGCCUUCACUUUUGUACACCGUAAGGUGGUGUACGAAUAAGGGCUGGGCAAGACCGGUGCCAGCCGCCGCGGUAAUACCGGCAGCCCGAGUGAUGGCCGAUAUUAUUGGGCCUAAAGCGUCCGUAGCUGGCCGGACAAGUCCGUUGGGAAAUCUGUUCGCUUAACGAGCAGGCGUCCAGCGGAAACUGUUCGGCUUGGGACCGGAAGACCUGAGGGGUACGUCCGGGGUAGGAGUGAAAUCCUGUAAUCCUGGACGGACCACCGGUGGCGAAAGCGCCUCAGGAGGACGGAUCCGACAGUGAGGGACGAAAGCUAGGGUCUCGAACCGGAUUAGAUACCCGGGUAGUCCUAGCUGUAAACGAUGCCCGCUAGGUGUGGCGCAGGCUACGAGCCUGCGCUGUGCCGUAGGGAAGCCGAGAAGCGGGCCGCCUGGGAAGUACGUCUGCAAGGAUGAAACUUAAAGGAAUUGGCGGGGGAGCACUACAACCGGAGGAGCCUGCGGUUUAAUUGGAUUCAACGCCGGA